ACGUUUUUUCACAUUUUCUGAUUUUUUUUAUUCCUUUUAUUUUUAUUAAUUCAUAUUAAUUUUAAUAUUGAUCCAAAAAAUAUGAGAGUUUCACCAAAAAAAUUCAAAUAAUUUCCUCUUUCUAUUCUGAAUUAAAAUUAUUUUUUGGAUCACUAUUAAUAUUUUUCAUUAUUUAAUUGAUUUUGUGAUUAUUUUUAAUUUUUUUAAAAUACUUUUAUGUCUUUA
Molecule: long non-coding RNA, 225 nt
Filed under: Lathyrus oleraceus (garden pea)
Lineage: Eukaryota; Viridiplantae; Streptophyta; Magnoliopsida; Fabales; Fabaceae
Description: Pisum sativum (pea) long non-coding RNA (PSAT_LNC011966)
Source: RNAcentral